This 494-nucleotide ribosomal RNA is filed under the name uncultured bacterium. Its description in RNAcentral is "partial 16S ribosomal RNA". It matches the Rfam family "Bacterial small subunit ribosomal RNA", at positions 28 to 507 of the family's 1533-position model. The record is from RNAcentral.
GACGAACGCUGGCGGCGUGCUUAACACAUGCAAGUCGAACGGAAAGGCCUGCUUUCCCUUGUGGUUUGCGGGUACUCGAGUGGCGAACGGGUGAGUAACACGUGAGUGAUCUGCACCCAACUUGGGUAUAAGCAUGGGAAACUGGGUCUAAUUAUCGAUAGGACUGCAGGGUGGUGUCUGUGGUGGAAAACGUUCUUCUAGUGGUUGGGGAUGAGCUCGCGGCCUAUCAGCUUGUUGGUGGGGUAAUGGCCUACCACGGCGGGGACGCGUAGCCGGACUGUGAGGGUGGACGGUCACAUUGGGACUGAGUUCCGGCCCAGACUGCUGCGGGCGGCAGGAGAGGGGAAGAUAGCGCAAGGAGCGGAAGCCUGAUGCAGCGACUCCGCGUGGGUGAUGACGGCCUUCGGGUUGUAAGCUCCUUUCGACCACGAGGAAGCCACCUGGUUGGAAGGGUGGUGACGGUAGUGGUAGAAGAAGCACCGGCUAACUACGUG